AUUUCAGUUUAUGUAAUAUGUUUUGAAUUAUAGAUUAGUAGAGUUUCCAAAUUUAUGUGACGAUUUGAUUCGUGGGGAUGUUGAUUUCUGCCUGUUGCAUGAUUAAUUGCCUAAGUGAUGGGUUUUUUGAAAUGGGGUGUCAAUUGUUUACUUUGUUUAUAUUGGAGUGAAUUUAUAGUUAGUUGCAAUGUACUUGAUAAGAUAUGACCAACUAUAAUGAAUUUGGCUGAUUGGUAGCUGUUUAUGGCUUAAUCUGGUGUCUUUGAAUCAUGCCCAAAGCAAUGUGCUUAUUGCUUCUAAUAUUCACAACACCACAUCAGUAGGAUUUAUUAGUCUUGUUAUUUACUAGUGUUAAAGCACUGUAAAAUUACAAGCACUCUAAUAUUCUCUGCAUUUUGCUAAAUGCAUAGCCCAGACUAUGAAUUGUUGGCGCAGGGUGACCCUCAUAUAUAGUUGUUGUCACUGGGGUAAAUAUUGAUUUCACUGAAAAUGAUAACAGAUCAUAUUUAUUUAUUUCGCUAUUUUUAAGCAUUUUUACGUGAAUCGACAAUCUGAAUUUAAUUUUGCAACACUGGCUUGUUUCAAAGAGCUUUAAUUUGAUUUUUGCUUUUAUACAUGUGCAGUGCCAUUUUGAAUAUAUAUUUUAAUGUCGUUAAAGUAAUUACCUAGAGAAUGUCAAGCUUGAAUCGUGGAAUGACAUUUCACCCGGAUGAGAAGUCUAAAUUUUUUGCAUUGUAAUUGAGAACCACAGUUAGAUAGUGGAAAUGAUAUGAAGUAUGUAUAUCAGUAUAUGAUAGAUAUGAUUUGGUUGAAACUUAAAAGCCCUUUUAUUUGUUAAUGUGCAGACCUUGCUUACACGAAGGUGCUUGAAAAAUAUGAUGUAUAUAGCUUCAGAGAUGUAGCUCUAGAAAUCAUGAACGGAAAGCAUCCAUAUCACUUCUAUGAACAUCCUCAUUUGAUCAAGGGGAAUUUUGUUUGAAAGAUUUGUUGGACCAAAGGCUUCUCUCUCCCAUAGGUCAAUUGGCAGAAAAUUGUUUCUUGAUGGAUAGAGCCAUAAGAAAUUAAGGCAAUUGUGUGGGCUUGGCUUACAAUGGACAUCGACGGCUUAAGGGAAAGAAGUAAGCACAACUUCAGAGAUUUUCUGACAAGGUGGAUGGAGAUGUUAGACCCAAAUGAUUGCCCACGGCACACCCAAGUGCACUUGAAUGGAAGGCGUGGGUAUGCUAUAUAGUUUGGGUGACGGGGAUUGCACCUAGCCGAGGAGGGUUGAAAAGCUUCAGACCAUAUGUAUGGAACUGUUUGUAUGAUUGUGAUUUAUGAAAGUUUAAUAAAGUAAUUUUAUUUAACAAAAACGAAAAAAAGAUAAUUGUUUGUAGACUUUGUAAUUGAGAAGAACUGAGUUGGAUAUUACAAUAAACAUUGGUAGUUGAUGCAGUUAGCGA
This 1442-nucleotide long non-coding RNA is filed under the name Aquilegia coerulea. RNAcentral's name for it is "long non-coding RNA (ACOE_LNC001441)". The record is from RNAcentral. Lineage: Eukaryota; Viridiplantae; Streptophyta; Magnoliopsida; Ranunculales; Ranunculaceae.